This is a non-coding RNA of Turdus rufiventris (rufous-bellied thrush), 99 nucleotides long. NCBI's taxonomy places the organism in Eukaryota, Metazoa, Chordata, Aves, Passeriformes, Turdidae. The record is from the annotation of a GenBank genome assembly.
UAAUGCUUGGACCAGCAGGACUGAGGUUUUAAAUGUUCCUUAUACUUUAAAAGAUGUGCUUUUAAAGAUUUUGCUUGAGUACUAAUCCCAGAACACUAA